This is a non-coding RNA of Nephila pilipes (giant wood spider), 134 nucleotides long. The record is from the annotation of a GenBank genome assembly. NCBI's taxonomy places the organism in Eukaryota, Metazoa, Arthropoda, Arachnida, Araneae, Nephilidae.
ACUCUGAGCAGCGUAUUACUCUGCUCACGGGUCGAUGAAGAAAGCAUGCAGUAGCGAGAUUUAGUGUCAAUUGCAGAACACAUCGAGAACGAAUUUCUCGAACGCACAUAGUGGCUUAGGGUCGUACUCGGAGC